GAUCAUGGCUCAGGAUGAACGCUAGCUACAGGCUUAACACAUGCAAGUCGAGGGGCAGCAUUUUAGUUUGCUUGCAAACUGAAGAUGGCGACCGGCGCACGGGUGAGUAACACGUAUCCAACCUACCGAUAACUCGGGGAUAGCCUUUCGAAAGAAAGAUUAAUAUCCGAUGGUAUAUUAAAACCGCAUGGUUUUACUAUUAAAGAAUUUCGGUUAUCGAUGGGGAUGCGUUCCAUUAGUUUGUUGGCGGGGUAACGG
Molecule: ribosomal RNA, 258 nt
Filed under: uncultured bacterium
Lineage: Bacteria
Description: partial 16S ribosomal RNA
Rfam family: Bacterial small subunit ribosomal RNA
Source: RNAcentral